RNAcentral lists this ribosomal RNA (530 nucleotides) under uncultured bacterium. Its description in RNAcentral is "bacterial SSU rRNA". It matches the Rfam family "Bacterial small subunit ribosomal RNA", at positions 777 to 1304 of the family's 1533-position model. The record is from RNAcentral.
AAUAGAUACCCGGGUAGUCCAUGCCGUAAACGUUGGGCGCUAGAUGUGGGGACCAUUCCACGGUUUCCGUGUCGCAGCUAACGCAUUAAGCGCCCCGCCUGGGGAGUACGGCCGCAAGGCUAAAACUCAAAGGAAUUGACGGGGGCCCGCACAAGCGGCGGAGCAUGCGGAUUAAUUCGAUGCAACGCGAAGAACCUUACCAAGGCUUGACAUAAUACGAGAACGCUCUAGAAAUAGAGUAACUCUUUGGACACUCGUAUACAGGCGGUGCAUGGUUGUCGUCAGCUCGUGUCGUGAGAUGUUGGGUUAAGUCCCGCAACGAGCGCAACCCUCGUUCUAUGUUGCCAGCGGUUCGGCCGGGAACUCAUAGGAGACUGCCGGGGUCAACUCGGAGGAAGGUGGGGAUGACGUCAAAUCAUCAUGCCCCUUAUGUCUUGGGCUUCACGCAUGCUACAAUGGCCGGUACAAAGGGCUGCAAUACCGUAAGGUGGAGCGAAUCCCAAAAAGCCGGUCUCAGUUCGGAUUGAGGU